This 28018-nucleotide long non-coding RNA is filed under the name Sarcophilus harrisii (Tasmanian devil). The record is from RNAcentral. Lineage: Eukaryota; Metazoa; Chordata; Mammalia; Dasyuromorphia; Dasyuridae.
AGUGGGGAGGGGGGGACUAGGGAAGGAGGGCAAGGGGGGAGGGCCGGCCAGCUGCCUUUUGGGAAGUAGAAGACAAAAGGGGAGUGGGGGGGGGUUGGCGGGGACGGAAAGGAAAGGGUUUGGGGGGAGGGAUGGCAAGCGAGCUGGGUUGGGUGGGAGAAGGGUGGAGGGGGGGGAGUGGAGGAAGUUAAAUAUGGGUGGUUAAGGGUGGGGCGGGGGAAUGAGGCGGGGAGGGUAUAAAGUUUCAAGGAAAAUAACAGGCUAGGCCUGGUUGGGAAAUCUACAAAACACAGCCAUCCUUUUGGGUUCCACAGAAGUGCUUUGGCAAGUGUGGCCCACUUAGGCGCCCAUCUUGGGAGGAAAAACUAAAAAAAAUUUCUUAAAAUUACCCCAUUUAAAAUGAUACUCUAGUAUCUGACUUAACUAUAAAGCUGAUUCUGCUUUUUGGAAACUAUUGGGAACUGCAUAGAACCAGCUUUUAAAAGAUGACGGUUGGGCCUAUCAGGAAAACGAAUGGUAAUCGAGGUAAACAGGUGGUGGUGAAUUGAAGGCUUGGUACUAUAAGUGUUCGCUGGGUGACUGGGGGGAGGGGAGAUGAUAAUCGUCAGCUGCCAGGUUGUGUCUGUACAAUACAUGGGUCAUUGUAACCUUUCAAUAAAGUACCAUCAGAACCGUGUGUUGUGAACUUGGGAACAAAGGGAUGUUGGGACUGAUAAUUGUAUUGUGACCAUCAUUAAAUGUGAAUGAAACCGGGAGUCAGAAAACUAGAUUGGACUUUUCUAAGGAGCGAAUUGGGUUUUGUACAUUGGAAAAUUGCCUCGAUGAACUUUUGUCAGUCUCGAUAGUACUUCUAGACUUUACCUAGUUUAACUAGUAAUUGUUUAGAAAAUGAGGAUGGUUAAGUGACUUUGUAUCAUGUUCCUUUGCUGAAACAGCCUGAAGGGUCUUUGUGCCAGUGACUCCAACCUGAAGGCGAGGGAGCACAACUUGAUUUUUCUUUGUUGCCAUCUUGUGGUUUUGUUGACUUGGCAAAUCAAAAGUUGAAUUUCAGUCUUGGUUCGUGAUACAAACAAAACUUAAGACCACAGUUUUCUCAGUGUAGAUAGUCCUAGAAAUGUGUAAAGUUAAAUGGCUUAAAAGUAAGUGUAUUUGUAUAGUUAUAAACAGAUGACUUGUAAAUGACUAACAUUUUCCUCCCUUAAGCAGCACAAAUAAAAAUUUUGAAGUUUUUCGUUUUUUUCCAAACUUUCAUGUUGCUAUUGUAUUUUUAUCGUCUAUUUGUACUGAAAACUUGGGUUACUUUGGGUUAAAUCCUUUUAGGUACAUGGUAUCUAUACUUUAUUUUCCUAAUGCAGUGUGAAAUGUGAUUUUAUGUUGACCUGUACGAUUUGUCAAGACAGUUUAUGUCCACACCCUAAUGUUUACUAAGAAUGCUCUAGGAGGUAUAAAAGCUCACCCCGUGGUAAUUUUCAACUAAACAGUAUCUUUGUCAUUGAUUGCACUGUAACCUGUUGGUAUUUGUGUGAAAUACAAAUUGCUGUGAGUCCCGUGAUGGGCAUAUAUGUAUUGGUGCAAAUACUGGGGGACAUUACAACAUUGUCAUGGACUGUUUGAAAGAGGUGACCAGAGACUCCUUGCCUCGGAGGUCAGGCUGGGGUACUCUUAUCUAGGAUGGUGGCCAUCUGCUGGACAUUAAUGUUGCAGCCAAGUGCUGAGGUGACAGACCUAAAGUGUAAUAUUUUACAGUUUGGUUGUGGAGAAUGGCCUCUCUUUCCCCCCCCCCCCCCCAAAGAAUGGCCUCUCUUUCCCCCCCCCCCCCAAAUUGUGGUACCACGUGCUUUGAGAUGUUUCUGGAGUCUGGCUGUCCCACUGCCUCUUGGGCAGGAGGGGAGGGGCAGGCCCAGUUCCAGUUCUGGUUUAGCAACUAAAAGCCCAACAAGUGGCAGCAGUUGCGCCAUCUCUAGGGCCCUAUACUAUGAAAAACUAUUGAAGGGAGAUGUUUUGGCCAGUGUGUUUAUCGAAUGUCCUAAAAUUGAAGGCUUGUGUGAAUCCGAGUUGGUGUCUAACCUACCACCAAGGUCAAGGUUCAAUCUGAACAAUAAAUGAGAAUUGGCAUUUGGGAAGGGGGAGUAUAUCGAGUGUACUAGUCAAAGGUUUGUCCCAGGUCAGAACAACCCGAUUUCCACCACCUGCCCCACGGGGGAGCAAGUCCAGAAGUAAUCUCUAAUUGUCUCUUCCUUCCUCAGUGCCAGGCUGGAUUCAGGUGAGCCAACUUUUUGUACAUCAGUGUUUUGACCCCGAUUUCAUUAGUGUGAUUACACUUGCUGGAUGGUUUGAUUAAAUUAUCAAACUGGCUUUCUACUUCUGUAAUGGGGGGGGAUUGUCGGAGGUGAACAAGUCUCAGUAUUGGUGUGCACCCUUUGAAUUGGGUGAGAUGAUAAAGCAAAAAGUGGAAAUGUCAAUAGUUGUGAUGCAUAAGUGAUUGUGGAUUCUGAAACUAGAUAAGUUUAAGGCUCUGGCCUUUAGGUGAACUGUUCCUGGUGCUGGGGUCAAAUGGUAUCCUUGGGGACCUUUCUCAGCGCAGUGUACCCUGUCCACAAUGUUCCUCACUUUUCCCCACGGUUACACUUGUGAGCUGGAGACCACCAUUUUUCCCAACUGGGCAUGUCUGUACUGGCCCUCCUGGUGUUAAGUACUGUGGAGAUCUUUGUGUCCCUCCAGAGGGAAGGUUAGCUUGUGAAGCAUUGCUUUGAGUGCCUGCACUUGUGCAGACCCAGCCCUGGGGAGAUCGGGACAAACGGAAAAGGCUUGGGCCUUGUUAGGACAGAGUCUGGUCCUUGUCUUGCUGGCCCCCCGCAUGGAGUCUGGCUCUUGUGACUUGACAUUCAUGUGCUUGGUCCCACUCAGCACAGACCAUUUAUUUGUCAAGAUUGAUUUGACGGUCCCCAUCAUCCCACUUGUGGAUCCUUGGGAUUGUUAGGACACCUUGGCAACCUGGGUCAGUGCUGAGCAGGUCUACUUCCCUCCCUCUGCACCACUUUGCCCAGAGCCUCUCUCUGUUGCCCCUUGCCGGUGCCCAGGAGGUUGGGUCCGGUAUGCCAGGGCCUUCCUUCUCCCUUGGCCUUUCCCCCCCACUUUGGGACCCCCCCAUUCUCAGGCCAUUCUGCCUUGUCUGCUGGGGUCCCCUUUCUGCUUUUGCCUGAUCAGGAGGAGACAGGCCCCCAGGGAAGGCAGCUCUUGUACCUCACUGUGGCCUAGGCCAGUCUCCUUCCUUGGAGCAGCCCCCACUGUGAGGUCCUGGGCUCUGCAUGUUUGCAGACCUCCAGUCUGGGUCAUCCACCCUGAUGCUUCAGCCUUCUCUGUCCUGUUCACUCCUGUACCCCAAUGGUCUUGAGCCUUAGGGGGCUUCUUGGUGGUUAUCCUGCUGGAUGCAGCCACCUGGCCUUUGGUCACUUGCUCCCUAUUGCUACCUCCCCCCACUUGGCAUCCUUGCCUCCUGCCUUAUCUUAACCUAUUCUGUGUUUGCUGCCAGAUGCUACAGACUCCUCUCCCGCCCCCAACUGUCUUAUCUCCCCGUGCUUCAUAAGGUGUGAUACUCAGCAUUUAUUAUAUGAUAUUCUUAAGGCAAUGAUGGGCCGUGUUUAGGUGUCACAAACCGCAUUAUGACGUUUCUGUGCUAGUCCGUUCUGUGACUGCACUGGGAAGUUCUUGCCUCCUUGUAACCACUCUACAACACCCUGGAUGAUGCUUUUAGGCUGCUGGGUAAGAGUGGAAAGUGUUGGGACAAAAUACUUAGGUUCUGAACCUUUAAAACUUUUCUAUAUAUUGAGUUUACACAUUUUUGUGCCAGACUUGUGGCCAGGGACCUCUUGCCAACUCACAACCCACUCUCCCAGUCCUGGACCAGUCUCACGGAUAGAACAAGGUGCUAUAUGUCAGUCUUAAAUUUGCAUUUCUGGUCAUUUGAGUCAUUUCUCAGAUGGGACUUAGUAGAUGGGGUUGUAAUUUUUGAUCAAUUACAUAAUGAGAAAUGAAUCUUGAAUAGAAUCUAAUUUGUUUUAGGUGAGAUUUUGAUCAAAAAUGGACUUUUCUCUGCAUUUUCUUAUUCUGGAUUUAUUUUUGAGGUAUUGAAAACUUUAGGUAAUCAAAUCAAUAUUUUUGUAGAAAAAAAUUCCGUACUUGUGAUAACUUCUCAUUUUUCUGCUUCUCUUAUUGUGGCUUUUUCAAUUGGUUCCUUGGCACUUAAUUAGAAAAGCACCAGAUGGUAUGAAGUGGAUUUGAUUUCAUUCUUAAAAUGUUAAUAACCUUGCAAUAAUCUUGAGGAAAGACCAGUUGGUUAUUUUUAAUGUUGAAAUCCUUAAAUUGACUCUUGAAAUCCAGUUCAUAUGGUCACAUCUGGGAAGCUUUCUGACUUUUCUAAACCCUCCCACAUGGCUCUUUUCCCUUUUUGGACCUGAUCUAGAACCUUGGCCCCUUUGGGCACUUCUAUCUGAGCUCUGUUUGCCAGGACUAUCUUCCAGCUCCUGGAGUGCAAACCUGUGGAAAAGCCUCAGGAGCCCAUAAUGUACCUUAAAACAGUAGCUAGACAGGGUGUGGCAGGACGAGCUGUUGGAAGGAUGGCAAGGUCAAGGUUUCCUAUGUUCAGUCAAUGCUGAGUUUGCACCAGCAUCCUGGAGACAUUGGGUAUCUGGGCUCCACUCUGAUCCUUGGGAGUAGCUGAGAUCUGGUUCCCAUGGCUCCAGGACAGGCUGGUCCAAACUCCUUUUUACUUUGAGAACAGGCGUGUUCAGCUUUGUUCACUUAUUCUAGAUUUUAGUUUUUGGGAGUAGGAUUUUCACGUAUACAUACACAUCAGUGUAUUUAUCUAGGGUCUAAAAUGUCUCCCCACUCCUAGAACUGGGCUAGUUGGACCUAGACAAAAAGGCAAUGCUUCGGUUCUUUUAGAGACUGAAUUAUGUGCAAUCUACUAUACUAAAUUUCUACUAAAUGUUAUAUACUGAAAGAGAAACUACCAUAUAAGGCUCUGAGGACAGCUCCCCGCCUGUGAUGGAACUCCUGACUUCCAUUUUAUAUUUGAACGCUUGUGCCAGUGCCGUCCAUUUUAGUCUGAAUGCCAUGGUUAUUUGAAAUGCAUGUUACAAUAGGUUUUUUCCAGUCAUUCCUUUUUUAGAUCAUUGGUUUUUGUUUGUUUGUUUGUUUGUUUUUGUACAAAACUAUUUAUACAAUCAUUUAAUUUCCUAUAAUUUGUAUACUGGCAAAAAUUUCCCUAAUUCAGUGAUAUGUAGAUUGAGCAAUUCUAUAUUAUUUCCUCACUUUUAUUGUUUUGCAAUAGGAAGUAUCUGGUGCUGUUUAUCAUCCUUUUCUGUUCCCCACCUAUCUACCCAAAUACUGCCAUCAAUUUUCCUCUGAGUAAUAGAAUUCCUUUUAUUUUUUAUUUAUUUUGUGAUGUAGAGAUUCAGUUCUAUUUGAAGGUUACUUGCUAUGUUUAUUGAUAUUUUCUCAUUUAUAUCUAGUGCUGGACGCUCAUUGUUUUAAGUCUUCUCCGUAAUUUUCUUUUUCAUUUGUUACACAUUUUUUUUUUUUUUUUUUUUUUUUAAAGUAAGCUAGUCUGUGGAUUCCUGGGGCAAUGCAAGAUCAGUGACCCAAACUCAGUAUAUUAUAGAACCCAGCCGUGUGCUUUGAUAUUUGCUGUUUGAGAUUUCUCUAAACUGUUUAGCAAUUGUCUUUAUGGGUGCCCAAGAAUUCAGUGGGUUCUGUUAUAAAUGGUAUUUCUAUUAUUUAUUUUUGGUGAGGUAAAUUGAUUUUAAGUGACUUGCCCAGGGUGACGCAGCUAGGAAGUGUCAUCCAGCUGUUCUUCAGUUGUUUGUUUUUAUAGGAUUAUCAUAGCCUGUUUUUCUUCCCAAGUUAUCACAAACUAUCCCAAGUUUGUGAACUUUCACAAACAGUAGCAAUAGUUCCUUCCCGAAUGAUGGUGUAGUUUUCCCAGAGUUUGCAUUUAUUCUCUCUACUUUAUUUCCCAUAUUCUUGAAUUCAACGUUGCAGACAUAGUAUUCUAUCAGGGUAUAUUAUGGCUACAAGAUAUUUGCGCUAUUCUGGUUGGAGUAAUUUAAUGUAGGUACCGAUUGUCAUUUUGAAAACUACCUGUUUAUCCUUUGCUCGUUUGGUCUUGGAAAAUGAACAAUCUUUUUUUUUUUUUUUUUUUUUUUUUUUUUUUGACAAAAAUCAUUUUAUUAAAUAUAGCAUAAAUAGCACUUAAAAAGACACAUGAAGCCCUUGUAACUUUUCGAAGAAAUUGAAUUUUUGCAGAUCUGUUGAUAUGAUGGGGGGGAAAAAACAAUUUUCCUUGGUAAUCCUCAAAAUUCUCUUUACUUUUGAACCUUAUGUAGUUUUGUUGUUGUUGUUGUUGUUGUUUUUUUUCCUUAAAUGCAGGCAGACAAAAAUAAGAGGGAUUGAGAAUUCUAUGUAGUGGUUAAUAGUCAUCUCCCAGAGUAAUGAACAAUAUUCUUAUAAAUUCUUUAUUUUCAAUGUCAGACUUUUAUCAUAAAACUUACAUAAAAUCUAUAACUUGCUCCAUUUGUUUUGAAUAAAUAAUGAUUUUCCACCAGAAUAAUUGUGAAAAAAACAUCUUUUUAUCUCCUAAUUCUACAAAACUUUAAAAAUGUAACCUUGCAAUUUAUUUGGACAUACAGUGUGAGGGGUGGCUCGUACGUUUGCCAUGUGCUAUCAGUUUUCCUGUCUAUUUAAUAAUUCACCCCUUCCUCGAUGCUUUGAUACUGGGUUUCCCAAACAGUCCAUUCUAGGCAGGUUUUCACUUUAAGCUGAUAAUUUGCUUCAUUUAAUUUUAUUACAAAAUAUUUUGCAAUUCAACAAUCUCCCUUUUUUUCCUCUUAUGUAAAUUUUAUUAACAAAUAACAUGUUUUAUCAGGUUUUCAAAAAACUUUCUCAAUGAGGAUCAAACAGGAUAAUGUUAACCUCCUCCCAGGAGUUGGGUCCAACCUCAAUUGACCCCCCUUACCCCUCCAAAAUUGACCUGCCCUGACUAGUCACACAGCUGAAUGGAAACAUCUUCCAGACUUCUCUACAGCCCUCCCUAGUUGCCAUGUUCUCUGAAGUAGUUUAUUCAUCCUGAGACACUCAGCCCAAAACAAUAAUGGUUAAAUAAUAAAUAGUUCUUCACACUGAGAUUCCAGUCUGUUCCGCGAUUCUCCAUUGGCUAUUUUCUUUAUAGAUCAUACCACUAUGCAUGUUCUAGAGCCAGGUUUUUUUGUUAUUGUUUUCCUUUUUAAUAUUUUUGCAAAGUAAAGCUCAUAAUGGGACUCCUGUAGUAAAAAAAAAAAAAAAAAAAAAAAAAAAAAAAAUCCAAGGAAUAUUAUGGUUCUUUAUUAUGAUUCCAUGUUUCACUUGGAAAAAAUAGACCAAUUCCUGUUGUUGUGUGACUUUCACCAUGGUUCUCCAAGCAUCGGGUGUGGUCUUUCCCAUAUUCCCAUAUUUGAGGUAUUAUUUGAGUUCUUGUUUGCAGUUCCAUUGCUAAUUUGAACAUUUCUAUGUACGUUCUAAUUUUUUUGAGAAGUUUAUAAUCUUUUGAUCAUUGUCAUUUGGUGAAUUAUCAUUAUGUGUGAAUUAAGGAACUUUAUAUUUAUCUAAUAGUUUUGUUAUACAAAUUCAUUUUUUCUCUACCACAAUUGCCUUAAGUAGCUAAUAAUUUCCCAUUUUCCUGAUUUAUUAGUCCUUUUUAAAUUCGGUAUGGUGGUUUAAAAGUAUUGCGGUUUGGUUGCAGGGUACAUCUAAAUCCAUUUUCCCAAAAGAAACGUGAGAUGUGCAAAAUUAGAGAAAUGACCCCCAGUGUUCGUGGGGACUAUGUGUCUAACCUGUGCCAGCAUUCUGAGCUUGUAUUGGGCUGAUCAGCCAAGUCGGACUUAGUGUAACCCUAAUAUAGUGAUGUCAUUUUGGUCUCCUAGGACAAAGGACGGCCACCAUAACAAUACACAACUUCUGGUUUCCCUCUCUGUGCUUUGGUAUUUUAGUCUAUCACAUGAUGUACGUGUGUGCUUCCAUUUAAGCCUUUUUGAUUUAGAUUCAUUGACCUUUCCCCAUUUAUAUCUGUUACUAGGUAGGUUUCUUUGUACUGCGAGUAAUUUUGAAACCUAGUUGUAUAAAUCUUUUAAUCUGUUUCUUACUCUGCCUCUUGAUUUAUUGCUUAAAUUGUAUUUCAUUCAUCAACAGGCCGUGGAUACUGAGACAACAAGUGAACCUGGGUGCCAGGUAGACUCUGUCCAGUUUGUUUUUCUAAAAAUGGUGAUAACUUAUAUGUAUUUUAUUAUGUCCCGUUAUAAAUGUUCUUUCUUGAAUGAAUUGUGAUCCUUUUGCUAGAGAAUGAUCAAGAAAUGUUGAUAAGUUACUCAAUAGCCUGUUUUUAUUCCUCAUUCCUGUGUCAUGAUUAGGUUUCUUUUUACGGAGGACUUUGUUGCCACCCCAUGGUGGUGUAUCAUGAUGGCAGAGGCCAGCUCCGAUCCCGGCUUUUCCCUUCUCUCCCCAAAUUCUUAGCUGGGCACUUACAAACGAGAGAUGCUUUAUAAUCAUGGGAUUUAAUGCUAUGGGAUAACCAGGAAUACUGACUUUGUGGGGAUAGAGGAUUUGAGAUUGUCAGAGCUUCCCUAUUGGAAGUGAAUCCUGAGAUGACCAUAAAGACUUAGAUCUUUCGAAGACUUUGAUCUCUGAAGAUCUCUGAAGAGAUCAUGUUGUUCAUGGUGUUGCUGUGAGUGUGGGGGACACUGUACUCCAUUUACCGCCCUGCAAUGUCCUUUUGGCAAUGUGUGUGUGCCCAGACUUGGAUUUAAGGUGAUUCAAAGCCUGCCGUCCCCCAUGAUCCAAUGCCAUCUCUAUCUCCAGUUCCCAGACCGGGGUUUCCCAUAUGCUGGGCUUCCAGAUCCAUUCCUUGUUCUCACACCUUCUCCCCCACUUCCUCCUGGUGACCCUCCCUAAGCCUGGAUAGCUCCUGUUAUCCACCUCCUCCACGAAGUAAUUGAAUCAAUUUUAGGAUGUAAAAACAUUGGAAAAAAAAUCAUCAGAAAAUCGAACAUGGCAUGGCUCCAGUUAUCCCCCUCAUUACAGCUCUAAGGUAAUUGGGUUCGCUGGGAAGCUGGAACAUGCAGGGUCAGUCACCAGGGCUGUCCUCCCCAAGCCUUCAGGAUGCUACAUUGUUCUAUCUUCCUGCCCCUGAGGUAAUACCAUUUUUCAUUGACCUUAUUUCCAGAUCUGGUUGGUUUCCAUUAAUCCUACUUUAGAUUUUGAGAUCAAACUGUAACCUUUUCCUCCUGUUUUCUUUCUCAUUGUAAAUAAUAAUAGCCUCUGACUAGCCUUGAAGUUUUUCAGAGAGCUUUAUUUAGGUGACUUUUGUUGAUCCUUAUAAUCUCCAUUUCAUGACUCUGGAAACUGAGGCCCAGAGAGGUUGACUAAUAAAUGUGGGAGGCAGGAGCCAAAAUGAUGUUGGUCUGUAAAGUAACUUAAGGACAAAAGUAACUUGAUCUGCUUAAGAGAAGGCCAUAUAAAAUCGGCAUUUUAAGUAGGGAGAGUUUUGUAGUUUUUAGAAACCUAAUUUUAUUCUCUUAAAAAAAAAAAACAAAAAACUGCACUAUCCCCCUUGUGGUUAGUUGUGUCCCCCUCCAGGUAUUUGUAGUGGGUAUAAUUCUGACUAGUGAAUAUUCUUUUGGAUCUGCUUUAAUAUCAUGUGAUUUCUUCCCAUAGUUCUUUAAAAAAAAUUUAGACUGAUUUUUUUUUUUUAGAGUUGUGAUUAUAAGCCAAAUGUUUGUGAAUUGUGCAGUCGAUUAUCGUAAAUUAAUUUUCACCAAUUUCAUUUUUAUUUGUUAGAGAACAAUAUUUUAAACUGGUAUUGGUGGUUUUAUCCUAAUCCUGUUUCUGCUGAAGUUACUGUCUUGGCCAGGUCCAUUAUUAUUAUUAUUGUCCAUUAUUAUCGUCUGUUAAUGUACUGUAUUAGUCACUGUAGUCCCACAGAUCACAGGUGAUCUGGUUUUGAUUUGCCACCAACCUCAAUGCUGCUAACCAUAGGUGCUCCAGAGUCCCAUGGGAUAGGUGUAAAGACCCUGUGCUUGGGUAUACCGUAAAGAUCGUAUUCCUUUUUCUCUGAAGGGAACACACACUCCUUAGUACUCUUAUGAGUGCUGUCUCUCUAGAGUGAGAUCAGAAUCCAUUUAUUCUUCUGAAAUUCCAUGGGUCCUUUCCUUAUGUGUCUCUGAUUCAAAGCCUCUUCUGGCCCCAUGAUCUGGUCUCGCCUCCCUUUAGAGCCCCAGACGGACUGCCCUGUUGGGGUCUCCCACAUGCUCUGCUUCCCUGAAAUUCAAUGUUUUCUUUAUGCCUUGUAACUAUUCCAGCCCCAGCUGAUGAGCUCCCCUGGCCCUUUGGUUUCUUCUGUCCCCUCAUUAUUUUCAUAUGAUGUUUUUAGAUAAAUAGGUUUUAUGUCUCAUCCUAUUUUUGUUAAAUCCCAGGAGAAGGCCAGGCGCUUUUUGCUUACUUGGCCACUUUGUGCCCUCUCUCCCCCUUCUCCGUAGCCCAGAAUUUGCUCAAGCUGUAUAUUUUCUCCUCUUUCAGCCCUUUCACUUCGGUGACUUUUCUUGGGCCUCAAGAAACAAAACUUGGUUUUAGCUCUAGCCUAGGUUGGUAAUUGUAGGAUAUAAAAGUUUUUAAAGAGACGCCUUCCAGUAAUUAUGGUAUAUUUUUAUUCUCUUUAAUAAGUAUUAUCAAUCAACCAACAUUUAUGUUCUCCCUACGCAGAGUUUAUAUAAUCAGUGGUCAGUGUGAAUAUUACUUUGGUUCUAUAAAAUUUGAUUACCUUCCCAUGUUUUUUUUUUUUUUUUUUUUCAUGAUUCUCAUUUCAAUGUUCUGUCAUGUUCCAGUUAUCAUGGCUUUGCUGCCAUUUCCCAGUGCUUAGCCGGGUGAAUUUCCAGGGCUUUGUUAUAGAUGAGUGUUUCUCAAACUUUUGUUCUCAGUAUCUUCAUGUUAAAAAACUAUCCAAGAUCUGUUCAAAGAGUUUUUGUUCAUAUGGAUUAUAUUUAUAGCUAUUUACUAUAUUAGAAAUAAAAAAAUAAUUUUGAAUUUGUAGAUCCUCUGAAAGGGUUUCAGAGACCCCAACAAUUCUUUGGACUACACUUUGAGGACCACUGUAGAUACUGCUGCCAUGCAUAGGCAAAUGAGUCCAGUAUUUCUUUAUAGGGUAGCCCUUGGAGUGGGAGCCCUGGGACGAAAAGGUCUAAGAAAUAAUGUCAUUUCUCAUUAUGCUAUCCCAUAUUUCAGUAAGAAUGAGAUCAGUUCUUAGCUGCCCCAGCAGGGUUACGAUGUGCCUCUCUUGCCAUGGCUCUACCAGCGAUGCUUUAUCGAUUCUAGUCAUAGAGUAUUUUAUCUGAAUUCUCUGCAUUUUUCUUAUAGGUCUUAACAUGUAAUUGUGAAUUUAUAGUUCUUGAAAACUUUUUUUAUGGUAAUUCAUUAGGUCAUUUCUUUUGCAAUUUGUUAUAUACAGUGAGAUAUAUCUAGUCUCAUUUUUCCUGCCUAUUAGAUCCUUUCCCUAGUAUUUUGAUAAUUUAAAUUAUCAUAGUUUUAUGCCUUUUGUUGAUGGGGAGUUAUUUAAUUUGAUUCACUGCUCAUUUCUUAUUUACAUCUUAUAUGUAUGCAUAUAUUACAGCUGUACCUAGAUGUGUACAUAUAUCUAAUACACCAUUUCUAGUUAUUGCAUAAGCUAUAUUGCUAUGUAAGCAGCAAAAUUCGAUGAAUGAUUUUGGGCCCUGGGUUUGACUGUCCAAUUUAAUUUUUAUUCCUCUAAAGCUGGUAGAGUUGACUGAAGGUCUAACACGUGUCUUGCCCAAAUACUUUAUAGAUUCUUCUGUUGUAAAUGGCCUUUCAAUCAAUUUCUUCUUCUUGGUGAUUUUAGUUAAAAAAUGCUAAGGACUGUUGACAGUUGGAUGGGCUACUUGGCUCCUGGUUUUUGCUACAGCUGGCUAGCACUACAUUUUCAUCAGGUGUGUCUUUGUCUCUUGUCUCCCCAUGUUUUAUUUCAUUCAUAUUUAUAACUUCUUAUGGUAUACGAAUGUUGCAUCAUUUGGAUGGUACAGUUUGUUCAGGCCAUUAUCCCAGUUGUCACAUGUGAUGGAUUUCUAGGAUUUUUGCCCUUGAAACUAAUACUGCUUCCCACAUGUCAUCUAUGCUGUCUUCUCCCUGUUAUGCCCUAGAAUGUAGCUUAAUGGAGAAAUACUGAAGUGAAAGAAUAUAAAUGCAGGAGUUGUUUAUUGUAUUCCACUUCACAGCUCCCCGACUGUCUCAGUGUGCCCAUUUGCCCCCAGCUCACUGGGCAUCCCAUGGUGGCUUUCUUAAUUUCUUAAUCUUUUCCAUUUCUUCCCUUAGUUUGAAUACUUUCCUGGAGUUAAUGGUUUCUAUUUUGACAUCUGCAUUGUUUCUAUCCUUUGGCACUUUGAAUAUUAUAAAUUUGGCCAUUUAAUUUGAGGCCAGGAUUUGCAAUCAUUUAUUUUGUCUCCUGUCCUGUUUGUUGAAUUAAGUAUUUCUCCCCAUGAGGAAAAUUAUUUUACAAAGGUUCCAUGGGAAUCACGUGUACAUCUGUAAUAUGUUGGAGUGUGUCGUAGGACCCCAUUUUGCCAAAUCCUGUAACCCACUUUUCCUGUCAUUCAGUAAUAAUGUCUGUUUCUCAGCACUUUGAUAAUGGAUUUGUUGUCUACUCUAACGUGCUUUUAGUUUCACUUGAGUUACUGCAGUGCUGCUCAGAAACUUUAUCUUCCCUUAGCUUCUCUUUCAUGUGGUUCAGAGCCUCCCAUUACUUUAUGGCUUUAGCCAGACUGGACUGGUAAAAGCUCCCCUAGAUGCUCUGCUUUCAGCCCUUUCCCUAGGCCUUGUGAUCUCCUCCGAACCCUCAGUUUGAGCCACCCCCUUCCCCUUUAGACUUCUCACAACACUUGAUUUCACCCUCCCUUGUAUUUCUCAAAUAAUGUUGGGUAGUCAUCUGUGUUAGUCUUCCUCUGAUCUGCAUUGAUCUGCUGGGUCUCAUCCUGGUUAUUCCAGGUCCUGCCUACUAUAGGGGGUUUGUCCCACUCCUGUUGUACAAUGAGACGCCCCCUGUACCUUUUUAUGUGAUUGGUAAUUUCAGAGCGUUAACAAAGUAAAAUAGAAAAAAGUUUCAUUUUAACUGGCGGUUUUUUCUUUAAUUAGCAGUGACAUUUCUCAUGAUUUUUAUUUGCAUUUAUUCUUUCAGAUUCAGUUUGGUUUCAUGGUUAUGUGUUCAUGGUACUUCUAUUUUUUAAUCUUUAUUUGUUCUUUUUCAUGGCACCACACGUCCCACGCAGGCUAGCAUGACUUACCUUGUCGUUGGUCUCCGAUUACUGGCAGGUGUAGUUUGAGAUUCUUGUAAUUGUAUUAGGACAUUGUGCUCAGGCUUUUGGUUUCCUGUCAGGGGGUUUGCCUAGUAGCUUAGUGUCCAGAGGAGAUUGUAAUUGUGUUCCUUUUGUUAUUUAAAAAAGCUUAUUCUGAGCUCUGUGGACUCAGCCCUGCAGCCUUCUCCCGGGCCCUUAGCCUCCAUUCUCUGUCAGUAGAAUUUUCCCCAAGCUCUGUGAAGUCCAGCUCAAAGAUGGCCUCUUUGUGGCCUUCCCUGAUCCGACAAUGACCUUUCUUUAGCCUCAAGUGUGAAGGUACUUGGUUUCAAGCUAGGAGCUACUUAAAGGCUGAUAAUUUUAGGAUAUAAAAUAUUUUCUUGUUAUGCGUACAACUAUUUACUUUUUUUAAUUAUUUGGUCUUAGUGCAUAUUUCUCUGUGAAUUGUGUUGAGGGGGAAAAUUAGGAAAAAAGGGAAAAACCAUGGGAGAGAGAAAACAAAAACAAAAGUGAACAUAACGUGUAGAUUUGCAUUCAGUCUCCUUAGUUCUUUUUCUGGAGACAGAUGGUAUUUUCUGUCCAAAGUCUAUUGGGGUUGACUUGAAUCAUUGAACCACUGAGAAGAACCAAGCCUUUCUUUUUCUUUUCUUUUCUUUUCUUUUUUUUUUUUUUUAUAUAGCUUUUUAUUUACAAGUUAUAUGUAUGGGUAAUUUUGCAACGCUGACAAUUGCCAAACUUUUCGUUCCAAUUUUUCCCCUCCUUCCUCCUAUCCCCUCCCCAGAUGGCAGGAUGACCGGUAGAUGUUAAAUAUAUUAAAGUAUAAAUUAGAUACACAAUAAGUAUACAUGACCAGACCGUUAUUUUGCUGUACAAAAAGAAUCGGACUCAGAAAUAGUGUACAAUUAGCCUGUGAAGGCAAUCCAAAAUGCAGGCAGGCAAAAAUAAGGUAUUGGGAAUUCAAUGUAAUGAACCAAGCUUUUCUUAGUUGAUCAUUAGAACAAUCUUGCUAUUACUGUGUCCAAUGUAUUCCUGGUUGUGCUUGUUUCUCUAAGCAUUGGUUCAUAUAAAUCUUUACAGGCCUUUCUAAAAUCAGCUUAUUCAUUAUUUUUUACACAAUAAUAUUCCAUUGCUUUCAUGUACCACAACUUGUUCAGCCAUUCCCCAAUUGAUGGGCAUCUAUUCCUUUUCCAAUUCUUUGCUAUCACAAAAAGAAUAGGUACAGUUUUGCAUGUGUGGGUCCUUUUCCCUCCUUUAUGAUUUCCUUAGAAUACAAACUCAAUAAUAGUAUUGCUGGGUCAAAGGGUAUACAGUUUUAUAGUUUAUAGUUCUUUAGGCAUAGUUCCUAUUGCUCUCCAGAAUGUUUGGAUCAUUUCACAAUUCCACCAACAAUGCAUCAGUGUCCCAGUUUUCCACAUCCCCUCCAACAUUUAUCAUCUUUUCCUAUCAUUGUAGCCAGUCUGAGAGAUGUGAGGUGGUAUGUCAGAGUUAUUUUAAUUUGCAUUUCUCUAAUCUAUAGUGAUUUAGAACAUUUUUUCAUAUAACUAUAAUGUGGCAUUAAUUUCAUUUUCUGAAAAUUGCCUGUUCGUGUCCUUUGACCAUUAUCAAUUGGGGAAUGACUUGUAAUCUUAUAAAUCUGACAAGAUUCUUUAUAUAUUUUAGAAAUGAGACCUUUAUCAAAAAUGCUGCCUGUAAAGAUUUUUCCCAGCAAAAAUCGGUACUUUCCUUUUAAUUUUGCUUCUGUUGGUUUUGUUUGCAAAAUUUAUUUGAUUUAUGUAUUUUUAUUUUAAUUUAUAAAUAUUUAUUUAUGAAUUGAUUCAUUUAUUUGCUGUAAUCAAAGUUGUCCAUUUUGCCUUUUAUAAUAUUUUCUAGUUCUUUGGUUAUAAAUUCCUCCCUUUUCCAAAGAUCUGAUAACUCAAGUGUCCCUUAUUUCCUGACUUGUUUACAGUAUCACCCUUUAAGCUCAAAUCAUGUAUCCAUUUUGACCUUAUUUUGGUAUGAGUGUGAGGUAUAGAUCUAUGCCAAGUCUCUGACAUUGGUUUCCAGUUUUCCCAGAAAUUUUUGUCAAAUACAGACUUCUUACUCCAGAAGUUGGAGUUGAGGGUUUAUCAAAUAUUAUAGGUCUUGCUUUAAAUGUGUCAUGCAUAUUUAAUCUAUUCCAUUGAUCCACCACUCUACUUCUUAGCCAGUACCAAAUGGUUCUGAUUACUGCUACUUUGUAAAGUUGUUUUAGGUCUGGUACUGCUAAACCAUGAUCCUUUGUAUUUUUUUUUUUCCAUUAAUUCCCCUGAUAUUCUUGAUCUUUUGUUCUUCCAGAUGAAUUUUAUUUUUUCUAGCUCUAUAAAAUAAUGUUUUGGUAGAUUGGUAUGGCACUGAACCGGUUCCAAUUGUUCAAAUCUGAUUUUAUUUAUGUGAGACGUGUUUUGCAACUGUGUUUAUAUAGCUCUGGAGUUUGUCUUGACACGUAGGAUCUCCCUCCCCCAAGUAUUUUAUUUCGUCUACAGUAAUUUUAAGUGGAAUUUCUCUAUCUCUUGCUGAUGAGUUUGGUCAGUAAUAUAUAGAAAUGCUGAUUUGUGUGGGUUUGUUUUAUAUCCUGCAACUUAGUAAAGCUGUGAAUUAUUUCCAGUAGGUUUGGGGAUGAUUUUCUAGGAUAAUACUUAUCAUCAUAUCUGCAAAAAGUAAUAGUUUUAUUUCCUCAUUGCUUCUUCUAGUUCCUCUCUUUUUCUUAUUGCUAAAACCAGUAUUUCUAGUACAAUGUUAAAUAAUAGUGGUGAUAAUGGGCAUUCUAGUUUCAUUCCUGAUCUUUUUGAGAAUGCAUCUAGUUUCUUUCCAUUACAAAUUAUACUUGCUGUAGGUUUUAGAUAGAUACUGCUUAUUGUUUUAAGGAAAGCUCCCUUUAUCCCUAUGCUCUCUAAUGUUUUUGAUAGGAGUGGGUGAUGUAUUUUGUCAAAACUUUUUCCAUUUCUAAUGAGAUUCUCAUGGUUUCCAUUGGUUUUGUUAUUGAUAUAGUCCAUUUUGGUAAUAGUUUGCCUGAUAUUGAACCAGCCCUGCUUUCCUGGUAUAAAACCCACUUGGUCUAGUAUAUUAUCCUGCUGAUAAGUUGCUGUAAUCUCUUUGUUAAUAUUUUAUUUAAAAUUUUUGCAUCAAUAUUCAUUAGGGAGAUUGGUCUGUAAUUUCCUGUUUUGGUUCUUUCUGAUUUAGGUAUUGGUGCCAUAUUUGUGUCAUAGAAGGAAUUUGGCAGGACUCCAUCUAUUUGGUUUUUUUUUAAUGUUUGGUAGAAUUCACUUGUGAAUCCAUCAGGCCCUAGAAAUUUUUUUUUAGGGAGUUGAUUAAUGACUUGUUCAAUUUCUUUUUCUGAAAUGGGACUUUGUAAUUUUUUUUCCUCUACUGUUAACCUAUAUAUAAAAUGAUUGGAAACAACUAACCCAGGCUUUUUAAAACUAUUAUUUAGGAUGACUUUUUUUCUCUCUAAAAAGCCAGAUCAGUUUGCCCUCUUUGUAAUUACCCAAACUAGAAACGCCAGGAGGAAAUUCAUAAAUGUUCCAAUCAAUAUAAAUAUUUAUUUUAAUUUUUUGCUUUACUAUUUUACAUUUUUUUCACAUAAAAAAAAAGGUACCAUAUAUUCAGAUUAUCAUCAUUUGCUUAGCUCUUCCUCAACUGUUGCAUUCCUUGAGCUUUUUUGUUAUAAAUAAUGCUGCUACAUUUUUUUAUAGUUGGGUCUUUUGUUCCCUUGAAAGGCAUAACCCCAUGGUGGGAUUCACUGUAUUAUGCAUAUAAGCAUGCAAUAUCAAUUUAUAAUAGCUCCAUCACUCACAAGGUGCCUCUUUUGCCCCACUUCAACCAACAUUACUGUCUUGUACAAUCUUUAUAUUUUUCAUUAGUUUUACUCUGUGUUAGUGAUUUGUGUUUUUAUACUUGCAUGUUUCUAACCUUUGACCUUUUAAAUUCCCCAAUCUUUACAUUUUCAUGCCAGCCUUUUACGAUGAAACCCAUUUAUUUUAUCUCUUAUAAACUGCUGUAUUUUAUGAUUAGCUCAGAAUUUUCCAUCCGAGUAUAACUAUGAUAGAGCAUUCUAUUGUGUCCUAUAUUGUAGGGUGAUAGUUUUAAAGUAAAUGCCAUGCAUUUGUAAGUCAUUGAGAGAUGGGUAUGAUUUCCCCCAUAUGCUAUUUGUUCCCCAAUUUUCCUAUGUAUUGAAUAACAGAUCCCUCUCUGUUCUUUAAGUGUGCUGAGCUACUCUUAUAUACAUUUGGUUCCACUUAGAAUGACUUACUAUUUCAUUGCUAUAAAUGUCUGUUACAUGGUUUUGAUUGUUUGGAAUAUAUUUUGAUUUCUAGUUGCAUAAAUUCCCCUUCUCCCUUAUAAUUACCUUUCUCGUUUUGUUAUAUAAAUUUUAUAAUCAAUAAAUAUAAUAGCUAAAUUUACACAGCACUUUUCAGGUUUGCAAAAAGCUAAACAUAAACCAAAAUCUUUGAAGAUAGGAGAGCUUGUUUACUUUUUGUGAAGAAGGGAAACGGCCUCACUGGUUAGAUGACUUGCUCGUGAUCCCCUAAUCAAUAACUGCCUGAGGUAGGAUUCAAACUCUGCUCUUGGUUUUCCAGUCUGAACCUCUGCUACCCAGCAGGAAUGGGUUGUGAAUGAGCCCAUUGGUGGUAAGUCCAUGUAAUAUCAAAUCAGAGGUAGUGCUGUAAUAAUGCAUGUUGUGUCCAUGUGGAGUUAUCUAAAAAUUGUCUGAUUCACUUCUCAAAUGUAUCUGUAUUAAACCCAAAUAUUUUAUUGAAAGUGUUAUUUCUACAGAUUUCUUUAAAUUAAAAAAAAAAGGAUUAUUAUAAAACUUUGAUUUUUAGAGUUUUAUCCUAUAUUUUGCUGAAACUGUUAUAAUCCAGAUUAGGUUUUUCUUUUGUUUUGAAAAUAUGGUGUAUAUUUUUCAUGGGCCACACUAAAGUCUCAUCUAGGCUUUGAUUUGCCCCAGUAUUAGAAUCUAUUAGAAUGCUCAGAAUUAUUGGAAUUGAAUUCCAGGAGGUAACCCUAAGAACCUGAUUACCCCUUUGUCAUACUGAAGUCCACUUAGGCUCUAGAAUUCUGUAUAUCGUUUCUGUAGCUGUGUAUCUGUUUGUCUCAAUAAUGUAGUUCAAAGCCUUCUCUUCCCCUUCCCCCCAAUAAUCUGAUGCCCUUUACAGCCCCAGCCACCCUGAACUCUGAUAGGUCUCAGUUGCUGAGCUUUUGUCCCCUGAAAAUUCCAUUCUUUUUUUUCUUGGAGCUUUGUAUGAAUUCCAGCAACUCCCUACUCUACCCCUUCAGAGCACACAACGAACUUCCCUCCUGGACUGGUCCCCGUCACUUGUAUUUCUCAGAUGAUGUUGUAUGUUGUUCUCAGCUUCAUUUGUUAGGCAAACUAUACUGCAGAAAUUGUCUAAGAUGGUGAUUUAGUAUAACACCAGAGCAGUGAUUCUUUGGGGCAGUUUUUUAUCUUGGAUGCUGACCUUGGCCAUGUGCGUUGUUUCCUUGUCUAAUCGAAUCUUUUUCUAAAUGGUAACUAUAAAUACUGUGUAAAUAUGUGUGGAUCAAUGGCCAGAUACUUCUGUGAAGAUCUGCUUGUUUUAGUCACAAAUCCUUCAGAAAUGUUUAAUGUUCUGUGUCAACCAUUUCUAUCGUCAUUACCUCAAGACAAUUUGAGGUGACGGUUAUAGAAGUCUUGAGUUACAGCCCUAUAUACAUAAGCCAAAAGUUCAAAGCCAGUUUGGAGUUUCUAUCCCUACUCUAAAUAAAAUAGACCGUCACUAAACUAAGGUUACUCAGUUCCUGCUAGGACUAUCCUCAGGUGGCAAGGGGGGGCCUUCUGGUGAUCGAUAUCCUAAUACUUGCCAUGUGGAUGAAAGGCCACUGGACUUGGAUCAGGGAAUAAGGAAGGCCCUUAGUUCCAAGGCACAUUUUUGUUCUGUUUGUCUCUUUAUCCCCAGUUCUUCAUUUUUCACGUUCUUUUGUGAAGGGAAAAGGUCUGCGCGAGGUCUUAAAUCCGAGUAAUAAUAUUUCUUAUUAUUUUUCCAUUGAAACAGAAAGGUUUCAUGAUAUGUAUCCGUCCAGAGACCGUAUAGAAAUGUUGAUUUUAUUUUUGUAUUUACAUUCCAUUUUCUAAAACUAAUUGUUUCGAUUAUACUCUAGUAACCCCUUGGUUCUCGUCAUAUGGCCGUGGCCCAUGAUAGUAGCAACUUGAUCUAAGCUUUCCCCCUUAACCUUCCUAAGCUCUCAGUGCAGAGUUCUUCAAGUAGGUGGUUAAUGAUUGUUGUUUUUAAAUUGAAUGCCUCGUGGAAAAGGUGGUGUCCUGGUAUGCUGGGAUAGUACUAACUAGCUUUGGUUUGUGACUCUGGUCAUUGAAGUUUUAUUUCAGUGCUGAUUUCAGAUAUUCUGUAUAAAUCCAUUAAGUGCAAUUUAACCAAGCAUAUGUGUGUGCAUUAUGCCUCAUGGAGACUAUUAGAGCCGUGUCUUGUAAUAUCGGAGAACUAGUGUUACACUUGUCUGAAAUGAUCCCAUUUUUCCUAGCAAUGCUCUGAAUACAAGAAGGAAGCAUCCAGUCACUGCUAAAAAUGCAGGAGCCCUUUUUCUCUGCACAGAUUAUGGAUAUUUGUUUCUUGAACCAUAUUCAGAGGCUCACAUACCUUCCUGCUGCCCCAACUGUGAUAACCUUUCUCCCAAGACUUUGUAGGACCAGAUUCUUACCUCCCGUGUAUUUUCCAUAAAAGUUUGGAAAUGUUGUCUCUCCCUGCAGCUCUCCCACUUCCUACCAUUCAGGGGGUAGUGACCUUUCUCAGACCUUCAGUGGUAACCCUUGAUUUAUAGCACCCUGAUAGAAUGGAUGGUUGGUCAUUUUAGGAUAAAAGAAAAAUCAUAACAUGAAUAGAUCUUGAGGAGUUUGAAAUUUUGUAUGUGUUCAUUGACUUGAAGUAUCCUAAUGGAGUCAGAGGCAUUGGCAGUGCUGCCGAUCUUGAUUGAAGGGUGUUACAUUGCUUUGAGAUCAUCGUGCCCAUUUUGCCACAGCUCAAAUGGCAAUUGAAUUAUCGUCUUAAACAAUAUUGGCCAAUUUGGCUGCAGUGUAUUAUGGCAGUUUUUCUAGUUUGCUUUUCUCUUAGUUGUAUUUCUUUUAAAAGCCAUCUGAGUAUAUCCUAAUCUUUUGGGAAAUCAUUACUUAUACGUAUUUUACACUCAUUCAAAUGUGUUAUAUACAAUGGUUAUAAAUAUUUUGGUUAAUGGAUUUUUUCCCCCAAGAAUACCUCCUCCCCAGCCCUAUGUAUUUGUUUGCCUUUUUCCCUUUGUUUUAUAAUUUGUCAGUAUAGUACCUCCUUUACAUGAUAUUGUAAGAUAUAAAAUGCAUUUUUGUAUAGUUUACUACUCAAAUAGUGCAAGAUUGCCUUUCUUAAUUCUUAAUGAUUUUAUAACUACAUUUAUAUUACCUCUCUAUUUGCAAUAUAUCUGGGUAAAUGAUAUGAAAGUUUAUUUUUCCCCUUUGAAAUAGAAUUUUCCUUCUGCCUUAGCUUUUGUAUUUAUCAAAUUGUAUAUUGUGUGCAAUAUAGUUUGUUGAUCUUUUCUGACAUAUACAAAUUUAUCUAAUAUUAGAUAAGUUUAUGGUAUUUUUGGAGUUAUAUAUAAAUCCAUCUCCCUACUUUCGUAUAAGUAGCUUUUAAAACUUGUCACAAAGUUUUUAUUUAAUCCUAUAAAGUAUUGAUCUUGAGACAUUGUGUAACACCAAAAAUCAAUAUAAUAACUGGGUCAGUUUUAAUCAUUUUUAGGAUACCUAACUGUAUCCAAAUUCUCAAAUUUCCUUAUUUCUCAAAAAAAAAUAACUGUAUCAUUGCAUCAACAGAACACUAAAGUCAAUGUCAUUUCUUCAAUUAUGUGGUUCAGCUUAGCAAUAGAUUAAGCAAUGUUUAGGUAAUUGGUUUCUCUUCCUUAUCUGACAUAGCAGUAAGUUCUAAGUCAGAGUUCUUUACAACCAAGUAAAAGGAAUCACAUUUACAUUAGUUAAAAUUAAAUGUUUUUUUAAAAAACAAGUAUUGAAAAAAAUUGCUCUUGAUUUAUAUAACACCUCCCCCCAAGAAACCAAGAAUUUUUUGCUGUCUUGGAUAGUUUGCUGUGACUUCCAUAAUUAUAUUCAGUGUGAAUAUGCAGGUGUGUAUAAAUAGAUACUUCUGGUAAUUCUGGCUCAGCUUUCUUCACGGUUCCUUCUUUCCUUAAGUCACUUCAUUUGGCACGAUUGUGUCACUUAUUUCCAGAUUUACCCUUGUCCCCCAUGAACCUUUCCUUGGAAUCAAUUAGAAAGCUCCUUAAAAGGGAGAAGUGCUUGUAUCUAGUUGCAUUUUUCUGAUGUAUAUGUGAGGUUCCAAUACAUUUGGCAAAGAUAUUCUCUUUUAUCCUGUUUCUUUUCUUGAUAAUUUUCACUCUGCUGCCUAUAACCUGUGUCUUGGUUGAAUACUUCAGAAUUGUGUAGUAAAGUUAAUUACAACAUUCCUCUAUCUCCUAAUAUUUAUUAUUUGGAUCAUUGACAUCAUUGGACUUUGUGGCAUAAUGUGGAAUAUCCCUUCCUUGGUGUUUUCCAUGAUCUUGAUUUUAUCUAAUACUAGUCUAUUCCAUCUGCAUUUCGUUUUAUAGUUCUUUAUCUGUUUGGUUCUGCAUUUCUAAUUUUUUGAUAUCAGAUACUUUUGAAAAAAUUUAAGGACACGUAAUCAAUGAUUUAUUUUCACCAAAUUCUAUGAAAGUGCAAGACAAAAAUCCUUUAAAUGGAUCUUUAAACUUUUCUUAAUUGCAGGGAGUUUUGUUUAAGAAAUAUACAUUAACGAGGUAAUGGCAUCAUGUUCUUUUCCAUGCCUUUCUGGUGUGGUUUGCUAUUUAUGUUCUUGUUGCCAACCAGUCCCCAAUUGUUGGGGACAAAUGGUUUUUCUAAGAAUAUUUUUGUACCAGGGAGAGCAAAUGUGGACCUUUCAGAGCCAGACUGAACCUAGGGCUUUCUGGCCCUAGGGACAAGAGUCUUGUCUGUUCCUCCCUUGUCCUUGGCUUCUUCCAACAUGGAAGCUAUGAACAAGUUUGUAGGAUUUUUGUCACAUUCAAAAAAAAAAGCCCGUGUUUCUCAAGUCCUUCCCAUUUGGGAUUCCAUAUAUUUUAACUGUCUUUGUCCUCCAAUAUGUAUAUAAAGUUAACAUCCUGGUGCUUAAGUUACAUUCUUCUUGCUAGAGGUUGAACAUUUUCAUGUGGCUAUUCUCUUGGAACUGCUUGUUCCCAUUUGUCUCUUGUGUUAGCAGCUCAUAAUACCACCAUAAGCUUCGAUGUCAGAAUUAUAUCCAAAAACGUUUGACAAAGAUUUUCCCUUAAUUUCUUGGUUUCCUUGUGCCUGUUGAAGAUACUUGUAAUCAUUGUGGUAGUGAUAUGAAAUUUAAUUCUUAGCUUUUAAAAAAAAUUGUAUUUGCCAUACUAAUUCACGUGGUGUGUUUUUAAUAUUUUUAUCCUCAGUAUUUGUGAUCCUGGAGUAGUUAAUACAUUUGAUGUGAACAGGUUUUUUUUGAACGAGAAUCAAUGUCUUUUUCUGAUUCAUAAUUAGUUCCAGAUAGUUUUUAGAAAUUUAGAAAUGUUGCCAUGCAAAUUUCCCUUUCUUUUUCCUUCCCAUAAUUUUCUUUGCUCUUCUGCAAAUUCAUUUUUACUUAUUAUUGUGAAAUAACCUAUUGGUGGUAUAUAAGUAAGCAAGUACUUACUUGCAAAUAGCAAACAAGUAGGUUUAAUAUAUUAGCUCCAUCUAGCCAUGCACAUUGAAUAUCUCAAGUUACUAAAUCUUUGCUCUUUAUCCACUGUACAAUUUAGCUGCCUCUAUGUAUUUUAGAUAGAGUUCUUCCUGGAAUUAGGAGGACAUGAGCUCAAAUUCCACCUCAUUUCACAAAUUGCUUAAUUCCCUUUGGAUCAAGAAUUAAUACUAGUUCAGGUUUUUUUUUUUAAGAUUACCAUUAAAUAUAAAUAUUUAAGUAAAUGCUUAAAAUACUUAGACUGAUCACAAAAUUAUCUUAAUAUUUUAAGUAUAAUUGCAUGUCUUGGUGGAUAAAUAUAACUGGCAAUAAUGACCAUCUAGGCAAAUAUAUUUCUUUUUUGUCUUUAAGUAUGAAAAUUUGGGAAUGACUUAUCUUGCUAUCUCGGUUUUAAUUUUUUUUUUUUAAAUUGCAUUUCUUGGUGUAAUAUGUUUCAGUGAAGCCAUUUGCUUUUGUAUCUUACUCCCUUCCCCUCCCAUAAUAUGCCCUUUAAAAUGCCCUACCAGCCCUUCCUCCUCCUUUCUUGCCAAGUGGAUGCUCCCUAUCCCUUCUAUCUGCUCAGCUCAUAACAUCGUGUUUAGACAGUAACAAAACUGUCCGUUUUGUUUCCAUGGUCCCUUUAUAUUCAUCAUUUUGUGUGGGACAAUCAGAUCCCUGAAGAUCCACAUCCACAUAGGCUGACUUUUUUGCCUCUGUUGUUGGACAGACAUGUGAGUUGUUUAGAGUUAAGUUUCCUCGUUAGUUGGUAAUAUUUUUAGUUCUAAUCAAUUGACGUGACAUUGUCUUGGAUAGAGAUUGUGGCUGUUUGUCCACAGAAGUAUUUGCUACAAAGAUUCCCCUUUAUACCCCCAUCUGUGGUUCAUUUUGUUGUAUGGUUAAAUAAUUGUCUAUUUGGAUACCAAGAAUUCUUUAGCUCUUGGAUAUUAUAGUUCAUUUUCUACUUUAACGCUUUAAAUCUUUGACAUAAUUGGAAUUGUGAUGUGUGAGAUGUGAAUCUAAAACGGCAUUACUAGAGUAAAAUAUAAUUUUCUGGUUAUUAAAAAUGAAAUAAUAUCUCCUUAAUAUGUUAACAUCUCGGGUUUAUCAGACUAUUAUCUAUCAUACACACUUUGGUUUUGACCUAUUAAAAAGCAAUAAUUGGUCUAUAAUUCUAGUUAAUAGUUUAUUUAGAUUUCCUUAUACAAAUCUUUCUUCCAAACACCGUCUUCCAAUUUUCUUUGAUACUAGCCCUACCUUUUCUUCUAAUUAUUAAGUAAUGAAUUGAAAUUAAAAUCUAAUGCAUUACCCAAUCAACUAAGGAACUGGGGUUAUUAUAUUGGCAUCUUGGCUGUAAUUUAUUGAUUUUUCUUUAACUUAUUUGUACAAAAAUGUUUGUAAUUUUUUAGGCUAUAUAUGUUUUAAUUGGUGAAUACUUUCCUUACUGCUCUGACCAUAUUCUCAAUGUUACCAAGACUAGGGAUGCAGCAGUUUUUGCCUGUAAUUUCCUCCCCAAAAGACCACCCCUCAUAGAGACGGCAGAAUCCAGCAAACACUGGGCCCUGGGCCACAUCCCCAGAUGUGUUGUAAGCAUGUGACCUCUGAUCCAAGGUGAGUGGUGGGUUUCAUCUCGGUUUUCCAUGCCGCGGCUCAGAAUGCCAUCGGUUUUUCUCGGGCGCCACUGGUAAACGGUUCUUGGGUUGGGGGAUCUGCGCUAUAUCAGUUCCUACAAGUUUCCAGACAGUUCUUGCAGGCCAAUAAUCUAAUCAUAGAUCCAAAGUGCUUAGUGUAGUUGUUGGAAACUAGAAAGGUUUUUAUGUAUGGUCCUUUUGUAACCUUUGCCUUUCUUGAAAUAUUAGUGAUUUAGAGCAUGAUUUUUUUUUUUUUUUUUUUUUUUUUUUUUUUUUUUUUUUGAUGACUUGGCUAUAAGGUCAUAUGCUUGGAUCACUUUGAGUAGGACUUUCAAACUAGUACAAAAUUCUCUUAGAUCUAAAUUAUACAGAAAUAUAGUUAUUUUCUGUUUUAAAAAAAAAAUCUUGGAAAUGAGACCUUUAUCAGAGAAACUUAAGGUGUUUAAUGGAAAAAACCAAAAUCUAUUCCCCCCUGGCAUUUCUAUAUUACCAUAUUUACAUACCAUUAUUACAUAUAAUAAUAUAUUUAUUUACAUAUAUUACCUUUAGCAAUUUGAUCCCAGGUCCUGUUUAUCACAGACUUUCUUCUACCCAUAGAUCUAAGGCAGAAAUCUCCCUUUCCUCUGAUUUGUCUGUCUGGCUCGUGUAUCCCUCUGAGGAGGGCCAUGGUGUGCAGUUUGCUCUGACUUUCCUUCUCCUGCUGUUGGCUGCUGUGACCCUUGGACCAGAACUUCCCCAGCCCCAACCCUGCUGCUGUGCUGGGGGUAGGUCUGGCCUGCAGGCUCCAACCUGGGCCGGCCUCUGUUCCCUCUGGGAGGUAAGACCGUGUUAACUUGGCCCAAAUCCUUCUGUUCACAUCUUUGAUCCUUGAGUUGUUGGCCCCGGCCCAUCGAUACCUGUAGCGGUUGCUUCUGUGUUUCGGAUGAGGACUUGCAGCCUCGCCGCCUGCUGUUCUGACUCUGAUAGUGAUUCCCUUAUGUCGAGCUCAUGUGGGACCUUCAGAGCGUGUGAUGUGAACUGCUGCUCCCACCCUGUUUUUCCCAUGAAUUGUUUUCCACGGUUCCAUGGUUUGGUGGACUUGGAAUUGUUCUCCCAGCUUCCUGUGGCCCGGUGGCCUAGAGGCUACUUCUGAUCAUUGCUUUGUAACAUAGCUUGAGCUCUAACAGAAGCCAAACCCCUGCGUUCCCAUUUGUUCCAUGAGUGUCCUUGACCUUUUGUUUCUCCAGAUGAAAUCUGUCUCUAGACUGACCCCUUUAGAGAAUGUUAUUUCACCUAAAAUCUCCCUGUUCUCCAAGUUCCCUAAACCCCCAGGGUCCUCCCUCUUCCUCCUUUCCUGUAACAAUCACCUUCCCCCCCAGAAAUCCUUUGUGCCCCGAGUGUUGACGCCCUCGUUUGGGGACUGGGGUUUGCCACAAACCUGAUUCUCCUUUGGGUAGAAAGUGAAUGAUUGGCCGUCCUUGCAUUUGGUAGAACGGCUUUCUUCCACACUUGACGGACACCAUGGAUGCCCAAGCACUCCCCGCCUGCCCCUACCCUCCCUGGCAGUCUGGGAGUGGGGGAUGGUGGCUGUCUGAAUCCCUUGGCUUUCUCAGUGCCCCCAGCCCCUCACCCACAUGGAAAGUCUUCCCUCCGGUACUCCUGGGUCUUUGGGAAGGAGGCCGGGAAGCCGGUCGUGGACCAUGAUGUCAAGGGAGUGAGAUGGGCCAGAGCUGGCCACUUCAUGUGCAAGCAGAUGGGAGACCCUCCUUCACCCUCUGGAAGCAAGUGAGCAGGAACCGCAGGGAAGCAGUGAGUGAGUGCCACAGGACGUGGGCCUGGGGGGAAGGGGCCUGUGGAUGACGUUGGAGGCAGUGGGGAGAGACCCAGGUUCAAAUCCUGCUCUGUGACUUGCUGUGGGGCCUUGGACGGGUCCCUCCACCGCCUUUUGUGUAAAGGGAGGAAGCUGGCUGUGGCCCCACAAGGGCUCUAUCAGGAAGGUGGCUGCUGUGGGCAGGACGUUCUUGGUUACUCGGUCUCCUUGGCCGGAUUUUUACCCUGUGGUCUUGGGUGGAGGAUGGGAUGAUGGAGGAUGGGGGAGGAAGAUGGCCGGCUGGGCCGGUGGCGGCUGCCAUCCCCAGAGAGACCCACUGUAUGGUGUAGUGGAGGAAAGCAUGGCUGUCCGGAGGGGGCGAGAGGGGUCUCUGCCAUAAGGAAGGUGUGCUCUGAACCCCAAAAGGCUGAGAAGCCCUUGUGAGCCCAGAGCGGGGGGGCAAUAAGGACACCUGUGGAGGAGCUAGGGCAACAUCCAGGACAGACCCAAGAGAGGAGGCAGAAGGAAGGUCAGCCCCGGGGGUUCCCCUCCCUCCAUUCCCUUCCUUCCUAGGGUUCAGCAAGAUUAAAUGGAAAAAGAGGAGCAGCUCAAGGCAGGCUUGGUAAGAGUUCCUUGGGAGCCUUGGAACGGGAGGGAUGGAGCAGCCGAAAGCCACAUCUAUGGGGAGGGGGGUGCCGGCCAAGGGCAAGGCCAGGCUCCAGAGGGCCCUAACCUUGACUCCUCUAGCAGCUCUGGAGGCCAGGCAGGAAGUCUCCUUUGUCCUCGGCUUGUCUUGUGAAUGACCUGCAGUAGAACCACCUCGUCAGUAGAGAACCAGCCUUGGGGAGCAGGACCAAGGGGAGCAGUGGAAAAAAGGAGGAAGGAAAGUGGAAGAGCAGGGAAAGGUCAGGUGGAGAAGGAGACAAGGAAAAGGAAAGGGAAAGAUGGAAAUGGAGGGGAGAGUAGGAAGGAUCUUGGAGGAAAGAGGAUAAGUCAGAUGGAGAGAAGAGAGAAGGAGGAAACUUGGAGAGAAGAUGAGCCAGGAGAGCAGGGGAAGCUCAGAUGGACAGAAAAGAAAGGGAGAGGAGGAGAGAAGAAAAGUUAGAUGGAGAGAGGAGGGAAAGGUCAGAUGAUGGAGAAAGAUGAAUUGUAGAAGGGAGAAGGUCAGUUGGAGAGAAGGGAGAUGAAUCGGCAGAGGGAGGUCUAAGAGCCUGUUCCUGGAGGCUGAAGGGAAGGAGGUUCCUCCUCCCUGGCAGUUCUGGGGGACAAUGGGGGGCAGCCCCGUCCGCGGGUGUUUCUUUUCCUGAGGCUGCUUUGCAGCCUCAGGUUUUGCUUUUCACCCUUAAAAUGUGUGUGUGAGAGAAGGUGCCAAAAAGCAAAAGGCACUGGUGGUGGCGCGCCCAGUGGGCCGGGGUUCGAGUCCCCGUGGUGCCUCUGCUGCUGCUGGCUCCCUUCUCUCCUGUG